UUGACCUCGGAUCAGGUAGGAAUACCCGCUGAACUUAAGCAUAUCAAUAAGCGGAGGAAAAGAAACCAACAGGGAUUGCCCUAGUAACGGCGAGUGAAGCGGCAACAGCUCAAAUUUGAAAUCUGGCCCUCGGGUCCGAAUUGUAAUUUGUAGAGGAUGUUUUUGGCGCGGUGCCUUCCGAGUUCCCUGGAACGGGACGCCUUAGAGGGUGAGAGCCCCGUACGGUUGGACAUCAAGCCUCUGUAAAGCUCCUUCGACGAGUCGAGUAGUUUGGGAAUGCUGCUCUAAAUGGGAGGUAAAUUUCUUCUAAAGCUAAAUACCGGCCAGAGACCGAUAGCGCACAAGUAGAGUGAUCGAAAGAUGAAAAGCACUUUGAAAAGAGGGUUAAAUAGCACGUGAAAUUGUUGAAAGGGAAGCGUUUACGACCAGACCUUCUGUAGGCGGAUCAUGUGGUGUUCUCACCGCUGCACUUCGCCUGCUGUAGGCCAGCAUCGGUUUCCGCCGGGGGAUAAAAACUUGGGGAAAGUAGCUCUCUUCGGGGAGUGUUAUAGCCCCUUGUAUAAUGCCCUGGUGGGGACCGAGGACCGCGCUUCGGCAAGGAUGCUGGCAUAAUGGUCGUCAACGACCCGUCUUGAAACACGGACCAAGGAGUCGAACAUUUGUGCAAGUGUUUGGGUGUUAAACCCUCACGCGUAAUGAAAGUGAACGGAGGUGAGAGCCCUUACGGGUGCAUCAUCGACCGAUCCUGAUGUCUUCGGAUGGAUUUGAGUAAGAGCAUAACUGUUCGGACCCGAAAGAUGGUGAACUAUGCGUGGGUAGGGUGAAGCCAGAGGAAACUCUGGUGGAGGCUCGCAGCGGUUCUGACGUGCAAAUCGAUCGUCAAACCUGCGCAUGGGGGCGAAAGACUAAUCGAACCAUCUAGUAGCUGGUUACCGCCGAAGUUUCCCUCAGGAUAGCAGUGUUGUCUUCAGUUUUAUGAGGUAAAGCGAAUGAUUAGGGACUCGGGGGCGCUAUUUAGCCUUCAUCCAUUCUCAAACUUUAAAUAUGUAAGAAGCCCUUGUUACUUAAUUGAACGUGGGCAUUCGAAUGUACCAACACUAGUGGGCCAUUUUUGGUAAGCAGAACUGGCGAUGCGGGAUGAACCGAACGCGGGGUUAAGGUGCCAGAGUAGACGCUCAUCAGACACCACAAAAGGUGUUAGUACAUCUAGACAGCAGGACGGUGGCCAUGGAAGUCGGAAUCCGCUAAGGACUGUGUAACAACUCACCUGCCGAAUGUACUAGCCCUGAAAAUGGAUGGCGCUCAAGCGUCUCACCCAUACCUCGCCCUCAGGGUAGAAACGAUGCCCUGAGGAGUAGGCGGCCGUGGAGGUCAGUGACGAAGCCUAGGGCGUGAGCCCGGGUAGAACGGCCUCUAGUGCAGAUCUUGGUGGUAGUAGCAAAUACUUCAAUGAGAACUUGAAGGACCGAAGUGGGGAAAGGUUCCAUGUGAACAGCGGUUGGACGUGGGUUAGCCGAUCCUAAGCCAUAGGGAAGUUCCGUUUCAAAGUGAGCACUUGUGCUCCGUGUGGCGAAAGGGAAGCCGGUCAAUAUUCCGGCGCUUGGAUUUGGGUUUUGCGCGGCAACGCAACUGAACGUGGAGACGACGGCGGGGGCCCUGGGCAGAGUUCUCUUUUCUUCUUAACGGUCUAUCACCCUGAAAUCGGUUUGUCCGGAGCUAGGGUUUAACGGCCGGAAGAGCCCGACACCUCUGUCGGGUCUGGUGUGCCCCCGACGUCCCUUGAAAAUCCACGGGAGGGAAUAAUUCUCAAGCCAAGUCGUACUCAUAACCGCAGCAGG
Molecule: ribosomal RNA, 1838 nt
Filed under: Natonodosa speciosa
Lineage: Eukaryota; Fungi; Ascomycota; Sordariomycetes; Xylariales; Hypoxylaceae
Description: partial 28S ribosomal RNA
Rfam family: Eukaryotic large subunit ribosomal RNA
Source: RNAcentral